UUCCACAAAAAGAAACAGCUCAGAGAUAAAAAGAGGAAAGCGUGAUGCUGCGGUAACGUUAGCUAUACAAGUGGUAGGCUAUUGGCCAUCAGUGACACUCUUUUCCAAAGCAGAUGAAGAAGCCACUUGCGAUUUCCAUCGACAAAUGUUAUAAUUUGACUCCUUCCUUUAUAUGCUAACUAUGAAUAUCAGACUCGAAACAACAAUUUUUCUUUCAUAAUCUUGUUCUUAGUUGUACUAAUUUCUAUGCGGUAGGCUUUGUUUGCCGUUCACAUUGUCUCUGGAGAGGAUGCCACGACUACUAAACAAGAUGUGUUCUUAGCACAAGAAAGAUGAGA
This 338-nucleotide long non-coding RNA is filed under the name Elaeis guineensis (African oil palm). Its description in RNAcentral is "long non-coding RNA (EGUI_LNC015790)". Lineage: Eukaryota; Viridiplantae; Streptophyta; Magnoliopsida; Arecales; Arecaceae. The record is from RNAcentral.